RNAcentral lists this ribosomal RNA (664 nucleotides) under uncultured cyanobacterium. Its description in RNAcentral is "bacterial SSU rRNA". It matches the Rfam family "Bacterial small subunit ribosomal RNA", at positions 99 to 795 of the family's 1533-position model. The record is from RNAcentral. Lineage: Bacteria; Bacillati; Cyanobacteriota.
CGGACGGGUGAGUAACGCGUGAGAAUCUGCCUUCAGGACGGGGACAACAACUGGAAACGGUUGCUAAUACCCGAUAUGCCGCGAGGUGAAAUGUUUUUUCGCCUGAAGAUGAGCUCGCGUCCGAUUAGCUAGUAGGUGGUGUAAGGGACUACCUAGGCAACGAUCGGUAGCUGGUCUGAGAGGAUGAGCAGCCACACUGGGACUGAGACACGGCCCAGACUCCUACGGGAGGCAGCAGUGGGGAAUUUUCCGCAAUGGGCGAAAGCCUGACGGAGCAACGCCGCGUGAGGGAAGAAGGUCUUUGGAUUGUAAACCUCUUUUCUCAAGGAAGAAGUCAGUGACGGUACUUGAGGAAUCAGCAUCGGCUAACUCCGUGCCAGCAGCCGCGGUAAUACGGGGGAUGCAAGCGUUAUCCGGAAUUAUUGGGCGUAAAGCGUUCGUAGGCGGCCAAGUAAGUCUGCUGUCAAAGUGCGGAGCUUAACUCCGUAAGCGCAGUGGAAACUGCUUGGCUUGAGUAUGGUAGGGGUAGAGGGAAUUCCCAGUGUAGCGGUGAAAUGCGUAGAUAUUGGGAAGAACACCGGUGGCGAAAGCGCUCUACUGGGCCAUAACUGACGCUGAGGGACGAAAGCUAGGGGAGCGAAAGGGAUUAGAUACCCCUGUAGUC